GUUAGCAGCUUAGCUUCCUAUCCAGCUAGACUGACAUUCUUACUGUUUCACUUCUCCCCUACAUUCCUUCCAUCACAUGGUAAUUUUCAGUGCAUGCAUGCACACAUCUGACCUGGAUAAGCCAGCUUUGAAAUGGCUGCAAAGAAUUUGUUGCAUUCUAGUCCUUCUGCUGUGGCUGCAGGCAAUCAGCAUUCAGGGGAGCCACGUCCACUUCUGCCAGCAAUACCAUGCCAUCAUAUACAAAGAAAUCUGAUGCAUUAAACUCAACUAACAGGCUACAUGGCAUUUAUUACCAGUAAAGUGUUGUGGAUUUGAAUGGAG
RNAcentral lists this long non-coding RNA (321 nucleotides) under Anas platyrhynchos platyrhynchos (common mallard). RNAcentral's name for it is "lncRNA (ENSAPLG00000019019.1)". The record is from RNAcentral. Lineage: Eukaryota; Metazoa; Chordata; Aves; Anseriformes; Anatidae.